AGACAACACGCUUGGAGCUGGCACAUCAUUUUCUCUGAAUAGUCAGUGUCUGAACAGUGAGCGAGGUCUCUGAAAAGUCAAGGCAUAAAGAGUAAGAGUCAAGUGAUUUCAAAUGUAGGAAUUAAAAGCCUUUCUGCAUCUUUUUUGAAAAGAAUUGACAAUAAAAUCCUUCAACCAAUAGAUGAAUGAAUGAAUCUAGAAAAGGAGAAGCCAUAGAGAUUGAACUAGUGGAGUUGAUUGAAUUUAUGUAUUUAGAAUGUGCUUCUCCGCAGUCUGAGCCCUGGUCCACCGUCCUCUCUUGCAUUUGAAGCUUCACCCUGACCAAGACCUCACAAGUCAGCUACAAUGUUCAAAGUGUCUGAGAUUGGUCAAAAACCCCCCUCUCUGGCAAGGCCAUCUGUGCUAAGAUCAUUUCCCCUAUUUAAAUAUUUAAAAAUAUGCACUUACAUGUCUUAUAUUUCCUUCUAUCCAAAGAUAAAGCCAUUUAAGAGGUUUGGUGGUUUGGUUGGUUUAUGACAGGAAGAUGAGAACCAAAAUGUGGAAGAUAUGCUAAAAAUAAUUUAAUUAAAAGCGCAUAAAUUUUGUU
Long non-coding RNA from Heterocephalus glaber (naked mole-rat), 586 nucleotides. The record is from Ensembl. Lineage: Eukaryota; Metazoa; Chordata; Mammalia; Rodentia; Bathyergidae.